GCGCUCGCUUCGGCAACACAUAUACUAAAAUUGGAAUGAUACAGAGAAGAUUAGCAUGGCCCCUGUGC
This 68-nucleotide small nuclear RNA is filed under the name Anolis carolinensis (green anole). Lineage: Eukaryota; Metazoa; Chordata; Lepidosauria; Squamata; Anolidae. The record is from RNAcentral.